GCGCCCAUAGCUCAGCUGGAUAGAGCACCAGGCUUCGAACCUGGGUGUCGGGAGUUCGAAUCUCUCUGGGCGUGCCA
Molecule: transfer RNA, 77 nt
Filed under: Pseudomonadales bacterium
Lineage: Bacteria; Pseudomonadati; Pseudomonadota; Gammaproteobacteria; Pseudomonadales
Also listed under: 1 other name
Description: tRNA-Arg
Rfam family: tRNA
About the family: Transfer RNA (tRNA) molecules are approximately 80 nucleotides in length. Their secondary structure includes four short double-helical elements and three loops (D, anti-codon, and T loops).
Source: RNAcentral